Molecule: ribosomal RNA, 465 nt
Filed under: Vreelandella stevensii
Lineage: Bacteria; Pseudomonadati; Pseudomonadota; Gammaproteobacteria; Oceanospirillales; Halomonadaceae
Description: partial 16S ribosomal RNA
Rfam family: Bacterial small subunit ribosomal RNA
Source: RNAcentral
CCUACGGGGGGCAGCAGUGGGGAAUAUUGGACAAUGGGCGAAAGCCUGAUCCAGCCAUGCCGCGUGUGUGAAGAAGGCCUUCGGGUUGUAAAGCACUUUCAGUGGGGAAGAAAGCCUUGGGGCUAAUACCCUCGAGGAAGGACAUCACCCACAGAAGAAGCACCGGCUAACUCCGUGCCAGCAGCCGCGGUAAUACGGAGGGUGCGAGCGUUAAUCGGAAUUACUGGGCGUAAAGCGCGCGUAGGCGGUCUGAUAAGCCGGUUGUGAAAGCCCCGGGCUCAACCUGGGAACGGCAUCCGGAACUGUCAGGCUAGAGUGCAGGAGAGGAGGGUAGAAUUCCCGGUGUAGCGGUGAAAUGCGUAGAGAUCGGGAGGAAUACCAGUGGCGAAGGCGGCCUUCUGGACUGACACUGACGCUGAGGUGCGAAAGCGUGGGUAGCAAACAGGAUUAGAUACCCCUGUAGUC